UAUCUUAAUAAUCUUUGUGCCUAAAAUGGAUACAAUUCGGUGGAAACUUGUCCUAGCUCCCAUAUAAGUAAUAUCAGGAUUUUCGAACAUCCGACUCACUUUACUUCAUAUAAUCAGUUUUUUUAGUAAGUGAUAUGUUAAUAGUAUGUGGUAAUGGAAAAAGUAGAUAAAAUCUGGUCGAUACUACCCCAACUUCCACAUAAUACAUAUAAUGGUUUUCGUUUUUCUAACAAACCUUAUGUGUUUGUCAGUAUAGGAAUUUUAUACAGUAUACAUAUGUAUAUAUAGUAUAAUAUUGAUUGGAUGUCAAGUUGCACGAGUAUAAAAUGUUCGGCUGCACCCAAACUUAGCCCUUCCUUACUUGUUUAUCCUAAUUUAGUGCUAAGUUAAGUUCCAUAACAUAAAUGUUGGUAUAAUGGCGUUUUGUGGCCGCGUUAGUGUUUAGUUACAAUAUCUCAAUUUUUACUCAAGUUAGAGUUUGCUAGACUAGGGUCUCUACGGCUAUAAUGAAAUUUCAGCCAAAUAUGAGCAAAGUACGCCCAUUGUAGUUUUAAAGGUACUAGUUAGUCAGUUGGCCGUCCUUUCGCUUACUUAGCGGACUUACAGUAGUUUCAAAUAUAGAGCUAUAUAACUUUAUCAUAGAAAUAUUAAAAACGCAUUAAAUUUCAGAAAAAUGCUGUCUAGUUUAAAUCAUCUUGUAGUCAUGUAAAUUUAUUUAUCCCAAAAAUUGGGAUGCCAGGAGCUAACAAGGAUGUAAAAAUUAUAACGGAAACACCAUUAAACAAUGCAAGAAAGAUGGCUAAAUGUAAAUAAAUAUUAAAUUAAUAUUAAUUACAAAAAAAUGUCCCUGCAAAUUAUUCCAAAAUAUUUACUGACGCUCUCUAAUGAGUUAUUUAAAACUCUAAUUAACUCAAUAAUCUUUUGACCACAGUGAAUCUUUCCAUAGCGGAUACCAUGGUAUCGAGUCUCAAUGCGACGUCCAAUUGAGUGUCUGCAUGUUGGAAAACGACUGGCCUUUCGACAUGUUGCUAUUAUGAAGCCGUUGGAAUCACGCCUGAGUAAGCGGGGCAAUCUGGGCAUUGCCGUGUUCAUUUGAAUAACCUCAAUUGCGAUUUCAUGCCCCAUGCUGCUCUUCUUUACAACCGGCGAAGUCGAAUUGAAGGAUGGUACCCGAAUUGUAUGCUAGGCCGAAUGAUGGUUCUGCGAAUCAUUCGCAACAGGAAUAUUUGAGAGUAGGUGGCCUAUAAAGGAAGAAUUACUAUACUACUCGAUAUAAAUUACGAAUUAGAUUUCGAAUAAGCAAAUUAACUGUUCCGAAUUUAUCACUGCCUUAUAAUAGCCGGCUUACAUCAUCAUCGACAUGUUAGAUAUUCACGGUAUUGAGGCACUCCGAAGUACUUUAAGCUGUUGGUUCGCUUCGCAUGUUUUUUUUUAAUAUAUAUUUAUUUGCAAUCUAUCAAUUGACAAUCAUCAAAUUUUUUAAAUACAUUAAUAGUGACAGGAUUGAUUGUUCUCUAUUGAGACUAAUCAAUGUAUUCCUAAAUUAUUUUAUUUGCUUAAACUUC
Molecule: long non-coding RNA, 1565 nt
Filed under: Bactrocera tryoni
Lineage: Eukaryota; Metazoa; Arthropoda; Insecta; Diptera; Tephritidae
Description: uncharacterized LOC120766661
Source: RNAcentral